RNAcentral lists this ribosomal RNA (1392 nucleotides) under Plasmodium berghei. It matches the Rfam family "Bacterial large subunit ribosomal RNA", at positions 458 to 2663 of the family's 2925-position model. RNAcentral also lists the same sequence under 2 other names. The record is from RNAcentral. Lineage: Eukaryota; Apicomplexa; Aconoidasida; Haemosporida; Plasmodiidae.
GGAGAAAGAAAUUCGUACAUCUAGGAGCUAUAGAACUAGUACCGCAAGGGAAAGAUGAAAGACUAAUUAAAAGUAAGAACAAGCAAAGAUUAAACCUUGUACCUUUUGCAUAAUGAACUAACUAGAAAACUUCUAACUAAAAGAAUUACAGCUAGAAACCCCGAAACCAAACGAGCUACCUAAAAACAAUUUUAUGAAUCAACUCGUCUAUGUGGCAAAAUAGUGAGAAGAUUUUUAGGUAGAGGUGAAAAGCCUAACGAGCUUGGUGAUAGCUGGUUACCCAAAAAAUGAAUUUAAGUUCAAUUUUAAACUUGCUAAAAAAACAACAAAAUCAAAAAGUAAGUUUAGAUUAUAGCCAAAAGAGGGACAGCUCUUCUGGAACGGAAAAAACCUUUAAUAGUGAAUAAUUAACAAAACAGCUUUUAACCAUUGUAGGCCUAAAAGCAGCCACCAAUAAAGAAAGCGUUCAAGCUCAACAUAAAAUUUCAAUUAAUUCCAUAAUUUACACCAACUUCCUAAACUUAAAAUUGGGUUAAUCUAUAACUUUAUAGAUGCAACACUGUUAGUAUGAGUAACAAGAAUUCCAAUUCUCCAGGCAUACGCGUAUAACAACUCGGAUAACCAUUGUUAGUUAAUCAGACUAUAGGCAAUAAUCACACUAUAAAUAAUCCACCUAUAACUUCUCUGUUAACCCAACACCGGAAUGCCUAAAGGAAAGAUCCAAAAAGAUAAAAGGAACUCGGCAAACAAGAACCCCGCCUGUUUACCAAAAACAUCACCUCUAGCAUUACAAGUAUUAGAGGCACUGCCUGCCCAGUGACUAAAGUUUAACGGCCGCGGUAUCCUGACCGUGCAAAGGUAGCAUAAUCACUUGUUCCUUAAUUAGGGACUAGCAUGAACGGCUAAACGAGGGUCCAACUGUCUCUUAUCUUUAAUCAGUGAAAUUGACCUUUCAGUGAAGAGGCUGAAAUAUAAUAAUAAGACGAGAAGACCCUAUGGAGCUUAAAUUAUAUAACUUAUCUAUUUAAUUUAUUAAACCUAAUGGCCCAAAAACUAUAGUAUAAGUUUGAAAUUUCGGUUGGGGUGACCUCGGAGAAUAAAAAAUCCUCCGAAUGAUUAUAACCUAGACUUACAAGUCAAAGUAAAAUCAACAUAUCUUAUUGACCCAGAUAUAUUUUGAUCAACGGACCAAGUUACCCUAGGGAUAACAGCGCAAUCCUAUUUAAGAGUUCAUAUCGACAAUUAGGGUUUACGACCUCGAUGUUGGAUCAGGACAUCCCAAUGGUGUAGAAGCUAUUAAUGGUUCGUUUGUUCAACGAUUAAAGUCCUACGUGAUCUGAGUUCAGACCGGAGCAAUCCAGGUCGGUUUCUAUCUAUUUACGAUUUCUCCCA